RNAcentral lists this ribosomal RNA (484 nucleotides) under uncultured bacterium. Its description in RNAcentral is "bacterial SSU rRNA". It matches the Rfam family "Bacterial small subunit ribosomal RNA", at positions 30 to 507 of the family's 1533-position model. The record is from RNAcentral.
AUUGAACGCUGGCGGAAUGCUUUACACAUGCAAGUCGAACGGCAGCACGGGAGCAAUCCUGGUGGCGAGUGGCGAACGGGUGAGUAAUAUAUCGGAACGUGCCCAGUCGUGGGGGAUAACGUAGCGAAAGCUACGCUAAUACCGCAUACGAUCUAUGGAUGAAAGCGGGGGAUCGCAAGACCUCGCGCGAUUGGAGCGGCCGAUAUCAGAUUAGGUAGUUGGUGAGGUAAAGGCUCACCAAGCCGACGAUCUGUAGCUGGUCUGAGAGGACGACCAGCCACACUGGGACUGAGACACGGCCCAGACUCCUACGGGAGGCAGCAGUGGGGAAUUUUGGACAAUGGGCGAAAGCCUGAUCCAGCAAUGCCGCGUGAGUGAAGAAGGCCUUCGGGUUGUAAAGCUCUUUUGUCAGGGAAGAAACGGUGGACUCUAAUACAGAUCACUAAUGACGGUACCUGAAGAAUAAGCACCGGCUAACUACGUG